UAAGCUAUCGCUUUUGGAUGGACCCGCGGCGUAUUAGCUAGUUGGUGAGGUAAUGGCUCACCAAGGCGAUGAUACGUAGCCGAACUGAGAGGUUGAUCGGCCACAUUGGGACUGAGACACGGCCCAAACUCCUACGGGAGGCAGCAGUAGGGAAUCUUCCACAAUGGACGCAAGUCUGAUGGAGCAACGCCGCGUGAGUGAAGAAGGCUUUCGGGUCGUAAAACUCUGUUGUUGGAGAAGAAUGGUCGGCAGAGUAACUGUUGUCGGCGUGACGGUAUCCAACCAGAAAGCCACGGCUAACUACGUGCCAGCAGCCGCGGUAAUACGUAGGUGGCAAGCGUUAUCCGGAUUUAUUGGGCGUAAAGCGAGCGCAGGCGGUUUUUUAAGUCUGAUGUGAAAGCCCUCGGCUUAACCGAGGAAGCGCAUCGGAAACUGGGAAACUUGAGUGCAGAAGAGGACAGUGGAACUCCAUGUGUAGCGGUGAAAUGCGUAGAUAUAUGGAAGAACACCAGUGGCGAAGGCGGCUGUCUGGUCUGUAACUGACGCUGAGGCUCGAAAGCAUGGGUAGCGAACAGGAUUAGAUACCCUGGUAGUCCAUGCCGUAAACGAUGAAUGCUAGGUGUUGGAGGGUUUCCGCCCUUCAGUGCCGCAGCUAACGCAUUAAGCAUUCCGCCUGGGGAGUACGACCGCAAGGUUGAAACUCAAAGGAAUUGACGGGGGCCCGCACAAGCGGUGGAGCAUGUGGUUUAAUUCGAAGCAACGCGAAGAACCUUACCAGGUCUUGACAUCUUUUGAUCACCUGAGAGAUCAGGUUUCCCCUUCGGGGGCAAAAUGACAGGUGGUGCAUGGUUGUCGUCAGCUCGUGUCGUGAGAUGUUGGGUUAAGUCCCGCAACGAGCGCAACCCUUAUGACUAGUUGCCAGCAUUUAGUUGGGCACUCUAGUAAGACUGCCGGUGACAAACCGGAGGAAGGUGGGGAUGACGUCAAAUCAUCAUGCCCCUUAUGACCUGGGCUACACACGUGCUACAAUGGAUGGUACAACGAGUUGCGAGACCGCGAGGUCAAGCUAAUCUCUUAAAGCCAUU
This 1085-nucleotide ribosomal RNA is filed under the name Lacticaseibacillus paracasei. RNAcentral's name for it is "bacterial SSU rRNA". It matches the Rfam family "Bacterial small subunit ribosomal RNA", at positions 208 to 1286 of the family's 1533-position model. Lineage: Bacteria; Bacillati; Bacillota; Bacilli; Lactobacillales; Lactobacillaceae. The record is from RNAcentral.